Homo sapiens (human) is the source of this 7812-nucleotide long non-coding RNA. RefSeq lists it as uncharacterized. The record is from RefSeq and is a predicted model, not a curated record. NCBI's taxonomy places the organism in Eukaryota, Metazoa, Chordata, Mammalia, Primates, Hominidae. The transcript has 2 exons.
CUUCUGUUUUUAAAACCAUCACAUCUCAUGACACCCAUUCACUAUCAUGAGAACAUUGCAAGAAAGACCUCCCCACAUAAUUCAAUCACCUCCCACCAGGUUCCUCUCACGAGAUGUGGGGAUUGUGGGAGUUAAAAUUCAAGAUGAGACUUGGGUGGGGCCACAGCCAAACCAUAUCACUCAGAAGCAGUUAUAUAGCCUCUUUCCUGUUUCCCUUAAAAACUGUCAUUUUCCUUUACUUCCCUGAAUAUGCACUUAGCUUACUAUGGCACACAUAUUUCCAUUGAAAUGCCUCAUUCCCAAAUAACUGUCAUUGUCUUUUAGAGACCCCCCUCUCUGUUUAUUAUUUACAUUGAUAAAAAUUGUGUCCAGAAGUCAGACCUGAAGAAAGAUCACUUGUGAAAGAAAUUGGCAGUUCUGGGACCUGGUGUACAGUACUCACUUCGGUCCUUAGAGCUCUCUGCUUCCAUGGCCUCACCUUCUCUGUCCUGGUGAGUCUUUUCUCAGGUUAGGCCUCCCUAUUUUUGGUAGAGGCUGAUUAGCUUCACUUUUUGUUUUGUUAUAAGGCCAACUGAGUCAAGGACCUUGCAUUCCUCUUGGGAUGAUGAAAGCCUUUUUUUUUUUUUUUUUUCUGGAAAGCCCUUACUGUAUAAGGACAAGUGUCUGUUCAUCUGAGUACCCUGCUUUUUACAGAAUUUAUGUUCUGUUUGUGAAGAAUGUCUUUUCUGGUGAAUUCACUUUUGUUUCUGUGUGCCUAAUUUAGUAUUUUGUUUGAUCUGCAUGCCUGGGUUAACAUUUUUGUGAUCACUCUUAUCUUGGUUUCAUUUUGGUUUGGUUCUGCGUGUCUGCAAGUGAUUUGGGUCUCUUCCCAUGCUGAUUUCUGAAAAUCUUCUUAGAGAAAAAAAUAAACAUUCUAAAUGAUGGCUGCAAGAUGGUUAAUUAAAAUCCAUUCGAGCAGUCCCCAGCAUCUAAAACACUCAUCCAAACUCCCGACAUUCUUUCAUAGGAGUGAUAGAAUUUUCUUUGCUUUGAAGAGAUUAAAAAGAAAUAAAAUGGGAAUUUCAAACAUUUAGACAUAUCAGAUUUUCUGAGUCUCCAGCCAGCUACAUGGCUUUUCCUCAUGCAUGUUUUUUGAUCAAUGGCAAUCAUUGGGAUCAUUUGAACUUCCCAAGCUUGUUUUCUUCUUUGCACCAAAUUAAGAGAAUACAAUGGUAGAGUCAACACAUAGAGGCUUCUAAAUCCUCUAGCACUCUGCUUCUUUUCCUACCUACUUUGAACCUGUUGACUUUUCUGCUGAUGUCGCCAUAAAACUCUCUGUUAUGGCAUUCCAGGUAAGAUUAAAAAAAAAGUCUUAAAGACUUUAAAAUUAAUGCUUUUACAAAUUACAACAGCCUCAUGGCAACCAACCAUCUAAACGUCUUUUAGAAAUGCAAAUUUAGGUUUGCCUGACUAACAAUUGCUUAAGCUUAUGGAAUAGUUAAUUCAAGUAUUACUAGUCUUAAACUAGGUAAAUGUUUAUAGAAAUGGGGCUCUCAGAUCAAACAGGUCAAAAUUUUGAGCUAAGCACAAUAAUAAAAGGUAGCUCUCUCAUGCAUAAAAAUUGCUUUGUUUGCCAUGUGGGGGCCAGAAAAAAUGACCAAUAUGGUGAAACCCCAUCUCUACUAAAAAUACAAAAAUUAGCUGGGCGUGGUGGUGUGUGCCUGUAGUCCCAGCUACUUGGGAGGCUGAGACAGGAGAAUUGCUUGAACUGGAGAGGCUGAGGUUGCAGUGGGCCGAGUUCGUGCCACUGCAUUCCAGCCUGGGUGACAGAGCGAGACUCCACUUCAAAAAACAAAACAAAACAAAACAACAAACAAACAAACAAAAAACCCCUGCCAACAUGCCUCUCCACCUACAUUGAUUACUCUCAAUUGGUAAUCAGACCAGCAGACAAAUUGUGGAUUCAUUACUAAUUCAAGGCUGCUUAGAGAUUUUGUUUUUUCUUAUACAAUUCAGCCGAUCCUGGCUAAAAUGUAAACUUAGAAUUUAACGUUAAACCCAUUUAAAGCUAAAAAAAGAAAACAAACAAAACGGGGCAAAAGAAGUUUUUGUAAACCAACUUACUUUCCCCAAAACAUUGGUCCACAGCCUUCAUUAGGAUACGUAUUGGGGCAAAUAACCAUUUGAACAAGGGAGCUAUUUGAACAAGGCUUAUUUUUUCCAAAAUACAAUUUUGAUCCAGCAGUCUUUUAUAAACUGGUGAGUUUGUAUUACUAUCUCAUGACCAAAAUUCUAAAAUGAAAUUUAUAAGAUUGCAUUUGUGUGUGGAUAUAUGUUUAGGUCUAUUUACACAUAUGUACAUCGAAUUUUGUUAUAUAUUGUGUCUAUAUUAUAAAAUCUGAUGUAGUUAGCCAGAAAUCCCUUAAUUUUAUUCAAAUUGGCAAAGAUAAAUGAGCACUCAUAUAAAAUAUAUAAUAAUAAAGAAGCUGUUUUUUAAAUUAGUAAAAUAAAGUUGUCAGCAUACAUUUUUGCCUGCGUUUACUGGUUGGACAGUUUUAUAUUUGUAUCUUCAAGAUGUUUCAAGGUCAGAAAAUGAUAAACCCAGCCUAAAAAGCAGAAUAAUCUUUGUUUGUGUAACUCUUUGAUAUGUAAACUUAAUUUAAUAUUGUAGUUUAAUAAAAACAGCUGUAUCUGCUGAGUUAUUAACAACAUAUUCUUAUAUUUAAGUCUUCUGCUUACAUGAACACCUAAUAUUCACAGGCUAUAAAAAUGCUUAACAGGGAAAUAAUUUGAAAUAAUGGUUAGCUUUAUCUAAUAGCUCAGUUUUUAUAAGUAAUCUGGGUAAAUUGUUAAAAAUAAAUUAGGUAAAUAUAAAUGGAAUAAAUACAGAUAAAAUUUUUAUGUAAUUUUAAAUACUAAGGUUAUGCUGUGUUAAAAUGAUAACUUAUUAAAUGUCUGGGUCAUUUUGAAAUAAGAUAAAAACUGAAAUUACUGAACAUAAAUGUUCUUUGCUUCUAAAAAUUUAUAGAUAUAUAUAUUUGGGUCUAUUAAUACAUGUAAAAAUUAUGUUAUGGAAGAUGAUGUUUCUCAAAAUUAUUAACAGAUUCUCAUCUAUAAAACACUAGUAUGUGACAGACAGUUCAAAAUUUCUUGCUUCCUAGAUUUUCACUAAAAAUCAAGAUUACUAAGAGUUAAAAUUCUUGUUAAUAUAUGUAAUUAUGUAUACAAAGUGUGCCAAAAAAGUAAGAUGUGUUUUGAUGAGAAAAAUUUUAAAAAGACAUAAAAAUGUGUUUUUUGUUUUUUGUUUUUUUUUUUUUUUGAGAUGGAAUGUCCCUCUGUCACCCAGGCUGCAGUGCAAUGUUGCGAUCUUGGCUCACUGCAACCUCUGCCUCCCAGGUUCCAGCGAUUCUUCUGCCUCAGCCUCCCAAGUAGCUGGGACUACAGGUGUGCACCACCAUGCCCAACUAAUUUUUGUAUUCUUAGUAGAGACGAGGUUUCACCAUAUUGGCCAGGCUGGUCUCGAACUCCUGACCUCAUGAUCUGCCUGCCUCAGCCUCCCAAAGUGCUGAGAUUACAGGCGUGCCACCGUGCCCAGCCAAAAAUGUGUUCCUUAUUGAGAAUUUUUUUUUUUCUAAUUUGGAGGUUAUUUAAAGGUUGUUUCAAAAAUUAAAAUUAGAAAAUAGAAACAAUAUAAAAAGGAAUGAGUGAAGGAGGGGGUUAUAAGAAAGUCAUGGUUAUUAUAAAGAUAUAUAUUUGUUAAGAAAGUUUAAAGAGAAAAGAGAAAAUUUUGUCUGGAAAAUAAUCUUGUGUAGUAAAUGUUUGUCCUAAAGUAAAAUGACUGGUUAUUUUUUGAGAAAGAGGAAGACAAAACAAAGCAGAAAGCCUAAGCAUCAUGUCAAGGCUUUGUGCAGGUCACAAAAGGUUUGUGAAGGAUGAAUUGAUAAAAAAAGUUAUGUCCUCAAGUUGCUAUAUUUAGAAGGGAAUUAUUUAUAAAUCUUUCUAAACAUUGAUCUUUGAUAUUGAAAAUAUAGUAAUACAAAACUAAAAAUUUGGCUCCCUCAAUAAGAACAACAAGAUUUUCUUAAAAUAUUGGUUUCAGUACAAUUAAAAGUCAAAAGUUCUUUAGUCUAAAGAGGUUUUGAUUUUUAAUUCUCUGCAGCUGUGUUUCUGUUUUAUAGUCACUAAUUUCCUUAGUUUCAGAUUAGAAAUGCUGUCUUUUUCAUUUAAACUUGUAAUUUCAUUUCUCAAGGUAGAGUUUUCCUCUUAAAACUUCUCAGAUUCGUAUUUCAGAAGUUCAAUGUUUGCUGUAUCUCAUCACCUGUAAUUUGCAGGUUAUACAACUGUAGUGGUUAAUAAUGAGUGUCUACUUGAUUGGAUUGAAGGAUGCAAGGUAUUGUUCCUGGGUGUGUCUGUAUGGUGUAGAUGGCGUUGCCAAAGAUUAGCAUUUGAGUAAGUGGGCUGAGAGAGGUGGACCCACUCUCAAUCUGGGUGGGCCCCAUCUAAUCAGCUGGCAGUGUGGAAUGAGGAGACUUGCUGAGUGUUCUGGCCUUCAUCUUUCUCCUGUGCUGGAUGCUUCCUGCCCUCAAACAUGAGACUCCAAGUUCUUCAGCUUUUGGACACUUGGACUUACACUGGUGAUUUGCCAGGGGCUCUUAGACCUUGGGCCACAGACUGAAGGCUGCACUAUUAGCUUUUCUACUUUUGAGGUUUGGGGACUCAGACUGGGUUCCUUGCUCCUCAGCUUGCAGAUGGCCUAUUGUGGGACUUCACCUAGUGAUCAUGUGAGUCAAUUCUCCUAAUAAACUCUCUGUCCUAUGUACAUACAUCCUAUUAGUUCUGUUCCUUCAGAGAACUCUGACUAAUAGAACAUCAUUCAUUGCCUUCUGCUCUUCCUGUAUUUCCUCUUGAGAAGGACUGGAAUGAUAACUCUCUCCUUUAACUUUUUUCUCUUCUAACUCUGCUGUGAUGGUCUGAUGCUACAAUGUUUACACUGAAGGCCUAGAAAAGCAAUCUUUUUAUCCAGUAUAACUUGAGUGUGUACUUGGCUUUUCUCAUUGCCUCUGAAUUGUUCCAUGUAACCGGGAAACGUCCCAUGCUGUUACUAAAAGCCAUGCAUUCUCCUGCUCAGAGUACUAGUUUUCCUCUAGAAUGGGGCACACUCAUAACCUUGGAUGCUCUCUUCCUGUGUCUGAUUAAAUCCAAGUAGUGUUUUCAUCAGGUUCAACUUUCAGCUUAUUGAAAGAGGCUUCCCAUAUGGAAAAGCAAUCACAUUAUGAAGGCUUCUCUCUCCCUUUUUGGAAACUGGCCUAAGAAACAAAUAUUUUAUGUUUUAGCAAGAUAAUUUUCUGUGUUGUUUUUAUUAGGUAUUCGAUUACUUAGGAACAUUGAGCUUUAAAAGGCUAAGGUUUUUACAUCCAUUUAACCUUCUGUAUUACUUUUUGAAGUCUCUUAUCACUCUGGCUAAAUGAAUGACUGUGAUUUCACAGUGAUUUGUGAUCCUAUUUUGAUCAAGUGUUUUAACCUUUUUUCAUCUUUGACAGGCUUCUCCAAUAUCAAAAUUCUAAAUUAAGUCUUUGUGACCUAAAAUUAACUUUGAGGUUUUCCUACUGGAUCCCUGGGUGGUCUCAAAGAAUAUAGCUCUCAUCUUAUAGAGAUAUGAAAUGAUAAGGCUUAUCUGGUAAAUUGUAUAGAAAAAUAUUGUCAAAUGAUAAGUGAUACUAUGUCUUCUUUCAGUUACAUUUAUCAUAUGUUAUUGAUAUGAAUGUUUGAAAUUGUAUAUAAUUCAUAUAAAUCUCAUAUAUCAUCAGUCAUAAUUCUGACUAUCUUAUAUGCCACAAAAUAACCAUAUUUUAUUGUUAAUUAGUGAUGAUAAUGAACUUCCAUCAGAUUCCUAACCAUGGUUACUGUAAGACUCUGUCUUCCACAGUUUUGAUUUUCUCUAAAGGCAUCUGCGAUCGGUUUCAUGGAAAAGACACCAACAAGCACUUUUAAAUACAAGUCUCUAAUAAUUUAAAGAUCAAUGGGCUAAAUUAAACAUUUUAAAUAUGCUAAUGAAUAAACUAAUAAAUUCAUAAAACUGCUAAUGAAAAUCAAGUGGAACAAAAAUGUAUCGUAUGAGAUUAAAUAACUGAUGAAGAUUAUUGUUUUUAUGAAUUUUAUUUGAUGCAUUAUUGGUUCUUUACUUAAAUGUUUUAUUUUUCAGAUGUAAGAAAAUGUUUUUUCUUAAGCUAAUCUAUAGCUAACAAUAAUUUGGUAAAAAAUACUUUUGUUAACAAAGGUGGAAAGCAUUUGCUAUUUCUCCCUACAUCAUUUCUCAAAAUUCAAAAACUAUUUGUAUUUUUUAUAACACUAUAGUUAUUUGCAUAAGUUCUAUAAAAAGUCCUCUAUUUAUAGCAGGAUACAAUUAAAAACAUUGAUUAUAUUAUCAAUGCUUUGACUGGAAUGACAUAUUUGAGAAUGUGCAUAGAAUGCCUGGUUUCAAGUUCUCCCAGUCUUAGAGUGGUGAGUAAAAUUGUCAAUUCUCGGCAGCACCAGAAAUCUUAAAACUGUAGAUGAAAUCUAAAGUCGGCCUCGAUUUGGCUUCACCAGGUCUUAAAAUCUGAGACUCCUAUGUGAUUAAUGUGGAAAGAAAAAGUUACAUUUCUAAAAAAAUGCUCUAGUACACCCAUUAUCAGAUUGUAGCUCUGUGCACUGUUUUUGAGUUCUGGUUAUCUACUUACAGACUAACUUAGAUCUCUGAGUUCUAGAUUCCUCCAACUUCCUUCCAUGGAAUUACUAAAAAAAGGAACUUCUGUGUUCCUAAAGCACUAUAAGCUGAAACUAGAUGAAGUUUUUAUGAGCAAGUGCCUGAUGUAUGAGCUGCACAGAAAGUUCACCAAACCACCCAAAGCCAUUGCCAUAGGCAUCUGAACUGCAAGCCAGCACAAGAAGUCGAUGCUUUCAUACACUUUCCAAGAUGUCAGAACAAGGUUCCAAAUCAUAAUAAGAAUUCACUCCUUACCUAGAAGUAAAAAAAGAGGACACACUUUUGAACCGCUCACAUGACCACACCAUUCUGCGGGGACGUCCUUGUGUUGAGGGGAGGUCUGAAGUCCAUGGAAGAAGACGCAGUGGCUGCUGGAGCUCGUGCAGAGGAAGGGACCCUCAGAAGGACAGGUGAACUGUCGGUGGCAGGAAAAAUGGUGGGCACAUUUCCAGAAUGACAAAUGGGAGAAGCAAUCGUGACAUCUCCAGGUGGGGGAAGCAUAGGAGGAAGAGGUUGUUCUCUCAGGAAGUUGCCUCCUAGCCUCCAACGAGGCCUUUCCUAUCACUGCUCAUUCUCUUCUGUGUGUGGAUUGGAUACUGCGGUCACCCAGAGAAGCUGGUGCACACCAGGCACAUGAAGGGGCGAUCCUUGUCUCCUUCCGACUCAUGCGCGUGUCUUGAUGUUUAAACUCAGAAGGAUGUUUAAACUCGGUUGUCUAUGAGACAAAAUGGCUAGUUUUUGGAGGGUCUGGGGCAUUACAUUCUGCAGAUUAAGAUUUUUGCCCGAUAUUGGCCAAGUCAAGGAAAUAGAUGCUAAGGCCAAAUGCUUUGAAAAACCACAAACUCCUGUUUCUGUGGGAAAUGUUUGGCCUGUUGAAUCAAACUCAAUAAAGAACAGUAAAAUCUGUUAUUUCAAAAAUUUUUGCUUUUGUAGCUGGUUAGUUGCCUUUCUUUGGAAAACCCUGUACAAUUCCUACAUGAAAUGUAUUCCUAUUGGAAAGAGGUUUUGCCACAAUGAAUUUCAAACUCUAUACAACAAAUUGGUUUAUUCUACAGGAAUUUCAAUAAAAAAGGUUUUUUUGUCCCUUC